This 1347-nucleotide ribosomal RNA is filed under the name uncultured bacterium. Its description in RNAcentral is "bacterial SSU rRNA". It matches the Rfam family "Bacterial small subunit ribosomal RNA", at positions 28 to 1381 of the family's 1533-position model. The record is from RNAcentral.
GACGAACGCUGGCGGCGUGCUUAACACAUGCAAGUCGAACGGAAAGGCCCUGCUUUUGUGGGGUGCUCGAGUGGCGAACGGGUGAGUAACACGUGAGUAACCUGCCCUUGACUUUGGGAUAGCUUCAGGAAACUGGGGCUAAUACCGGAUAGGAGCUCCUGCUGCAUGGUGGGGGUUGGAAAGUUUCGGCGGUUGGGGAUGGACUCGCGGCUUAUCAGCUUGUUGGUGGGGUAGUGGCUUACCAAGGCUUUGACGGGUAGCCGGCCUGAGAGGGUGACCGGCCACAUUGGGACUGAGAUACGGCCCAGACUCCUACGGGAGGCAGCAGUGGGGAAUAUUGCACAAUGGGCGGAAGCCUGAUGCAGCAACGCCGCGUGCGGGAUGACGGCCUUCGGGUUGUAAACCGCUUUCGCCUGUGACGAAGCGUGAGUGACGGUAAUGGGUAAAGAAGCACCGGCUAACUACGUGCCAGCAGCCGCGGUGAUACGUAGGGUGCGAGCGUUGUCCGGAUUUAUUGGGCGUAAAGGGCUCGUAGGUGGUUGAUCGCGUCGGAAGUGUAAUCUUGGGGCUUAACCCUGAGCGUGCUUUCGAUACGGGUUGACUUGAGGAAAGGUAGGGGAGAAUGGAAUUCCUGGUGGAGCGGUGGAAUGCGCAGAUAUCAGGAGGAACACCAGUGGCGAAGGCGGUUCUCUGGGCCUUUCCUGACGCUGAGGAGCGAAAGCGUGGGGAGCGAACAGGCUUAGAUACCCUGGUAGUCCACGCUGUAAACGGUGGGUACUAGGUGUGGGGUCCAUUCCACGGGUUCCGUGCCGUAGCUAACGCUUUAAGUACCCCGCCUGGGGAGUACGGCCGCAAGGCUAAAACUCAAAGGAAUUGACGGGGCCCCGCACAAGCGGCGGAGCAUGCGGAUUAAUUCGAUGCAACGCGUAGAACCUUACCUGGGUUUGACAUGGAUCGGGAGCGCUCAGAGAUGGGUGUGCCUCUUUUGGGGUCGGUUCACAGGUGGUGCAUGGCUGUCGUCAGCUCGUGUCGUGAGAUGUUGGGUUAAGUCCCGCAACGAGCGCAACCCUUGUUCACUGUUGCCAGCACGUUAUGGUGGGGACUCAGUGGAGACCGCCGGGGUCAACUCGGAGGAAGGUGGGGAUGACGUCAAGUCAUCAUGCCCCUUAUGUCCAGGGCUUCACGCAUGCUACAAUGGCUGGUACAGAGAGUGGCGAGCCUGUGAGGGUGAGCGAAUCUCGGAAAGCCGGUCUCAGUUCGGAUUGGGGUCUGCAACUCGACCUCAUGAAGUCGGAGUCGCUAGUAAUCGCAGAUCAGCAACGCUGCGGUGAAUACGUUCCCGGGGCU